Molecule: long non-coding RNA, 894 nt
Organism: Leopardus geoffroyi (Geoffroy's cat)
Lineage: Eukaryota; Metazoa; Chordata; Mammalia; Carnivora; Felidae
Exons: 4
Source: RefSeq, a predicted model, not a curated record
GAGCUGGUUCUUUUAGUAAAUGGCCAAUGAGAUCACAAAGAAGUUCACUAGGAAACAGAUUUUCCCACAUGCUCAGUGCUCACCACCUAGGGGCGCAGUUCAGUGUUUGGUGUGCUCCCAAAUCACCGGCAGAGCACGGAAGAGUGAUUCUGAUUCUGUUGUUCUCAGUCCAGCAUCUGCAUUUUAAACAAGCCCCUAGUCCAUCAAGUUUUGUUGGUCUGUGCACAAUGCCUAAGAAAUGUCUCCAUCCCUUUCCUGGAACCAGAGCAGAAUCAAUGCAAAAGGAAUCUUUUCCUUCCCCGGGACCCCGUGAGUCCUGUGUGGAACCUGGAAAUAGUAAUGGCAUCUAUGUCAAAGUGUGGCUGUGAGGAUUGGACUACAUAAUGCAUGUAAAGACUCAAAACUUUGCCUGGCCUCUCAAAGGCUCUUAACAAGUGUUAUCUAUUAUUAUUAUGCAGACGUUUAUACAUAUGAUUCCUGAGGUACCAACAAGCCACUAACAUCUUCCAACCCUACAAUGCAAGAAGGCCGACAAGAAGGUGGUGGGACAGCCCCUGGCUGGCACAGGCAGUGAACUUCUUCCAGACAUCAAGGGUUCCGCCAAAGAAACUUCUCUGCUUUCAAGGAUUCAUAGGAUUAGAUUGGGGUCAUGCAGAUAAUCCAGGAUGAUCCCCCUACCUUAAGUUAUUAAAAGAAAUAGAAGAUCUGAUCCACAGAAACACUGUGAUUGUCGCAGGGAAGCGUAUCCUAGAGGGCAUGCAGGCUAUUGAUAUUCUCUCCUCAAGCCGGAAACUCUCUGGAGAUCCACGAGAAACACAGAAUCACAACAAAGACUGGAAAACAAAUGGAUGGAAUCAGAGACGGUUGCAGACACGUAAAUAGCUUUUCACGCUG